Molecule: ribosomal RNA, 334 nt
Filed under: uncultured Geobacillus sp.
Lineage: Bacteria; Bacillati; Bacillota; Bacilli; Caryophanales; Anoxybacillaceae
Description: bacterial SSU rRNA
Rfam family: Bacterial small subunit ribosomal RNA
Source: RNAcentral
AUGGUUGUCGUCAGCUCGUGUCGUGAGAUGUUGGUUAAGUCCCGCAACGAGCGCAACCCUCGCCUCUAGUUGCCAGCAUCGGUUGGGCACUCUAGAGGGACUGCCGGCGACAAGUCGGAGGAAGGUGGGGAUGACGUCAAAUCAUCAUGCCCCUUAUGACCUGGGCUACACACGUGCUACAAUGGGCGGUACAAAGGGCUGCGAACCCGCGAGGGGGAGCGAAUCCCAAAAAGCCGCUCUCAGUUCGGAUUGCAGGCUGCAACUCGCCUGCAUGAAGCCGGAAUCGCUAGUAACCGCGAAUCAGCAGGUCGCGGUGAAUACGUUCCCGGGCCUU